This 82-nucleotide transfer RNA is filed under the name Thioclava sp. SK-1. It matches the Rfam family "tRNA". Rfam says of the family: Transfer RNA (tRNA) molecules are approximately 80 nucleotides in length. Their secondary structure includes four short double-helical elements and three loops (D, anti-codon, and T loops). The record is from Rfam by way of RNAcentral. Lineage: Bacteria; Pseudomonadati; Pseudomonadota; Alphaproteobacteria; Rhodobacterales; Paracoccaceae.
GCGGGCAUGGCGGAAUGGUAGACGCAAGGGACUUAAACUCCCUCGAACUUAGUUCGUGCGGGUUCGACUCCCGCUGCCCGCA